UAGCUCAGUGGGAGAGCAUUUGCCUAAUAAGCAGGAGGCCCUAGGUUCAAUCCCCAG
This 57-nucleotide transfer RNA is filed under the name Heterocephalus glaber (naked mole-rat). It matches the Rfam family "tRNA", at positions 8 to 63 of the family's 71-position model. Rfam says of the family: Transfer RNA (tRNA) molecules are approximately 80 nucleotides in length. Their secondary structure includes four short double-helical elements and three loops (D, anti-codon, and T loops). Further hydrogen bonds mediate the characteristic L-shaped molecular structure. tRNAs have two regions of fundamental functional importance: the anti-codon, which is responsible for specific mRNA codon recognition, and the 3' end, to which the tRNAs corresponding amino acid is attached (by aminoacyl-tRNA synthetases). tRNAs cope with the degeneracy of the genetic code in two manners: having more than one tRNA (with a specific anti-codon) for a particular amino acid; and 'wobble' base-pairing, i.e. permitting non-standard base-pairing at the 3rd anti-codon position. The record is from Rfam by way of RNAcentral. Lineage: Eukaryota; Metazoa; Chordata; Mammalia; Rodentia; Bathyergidae.